UACCUUCUGGAUCACACCGUGGAUGGCUAUGCUAUUCUGUUCCCAGGGCUCACUUCAUUUUUAAACAUUUAACCCUUUAUGUUCCACUAUCACACUAGAUGUGUGUUCUGGAGUAAAAACAGUUUCUACUCAUGUGGUUGUGGUUACUUCUCAAUCUCUGCAUUCUUGAUGGUGUAUGUUCCCUCCCUCAAAUUGGGGUCCUAAUUCUUUCAUGAAUUUGGGUGAAUUAUGAUCUAGCCUGGGGAAGUAGACCCUGACCAAAUAACGAUCCUGCAGCUCAGCUGCUAAACUUUGUGAGACUCAUUUUGGAUGAGUUUAAGCAAAUCAGUGGCUGAACUGUUUAAAAUAGCCAACCACAUUCUGUUCUUGGUCUGUGCUAGGCGGCUUUUCUGGUUCCCUAUGCAUUUAGCAGAUUGUGAAACUUUUGGGGUGAAUUUCAGUUCUUUAGGGCAUGUGGGUCGGCGCUUGAGGUUAGAGGGUCAGGGUGUAGUAGAGUGCACAUAUCUCCCGAGAGCAGCGUGGGCUGAGGAGGGGUAGCCUUGGGUGGAAGCACACAGCUCUCAGCACGCACUGUCUGGCUGCACCGAGCCCUGCAUGCUGCUUCCUUGCUAAGUGCUGCUGCUUAGCACUGACAGCUGCAUGCUCACCAAGCUGCUGGUCUUCUGCUCUGUGUGGCUGACCCUUUCUGUUGGCUGUAUGGCAUUAAUAUUUGGAAGAAGUUAGAAUCUAUGGCCACGUACAAGGAGGGACUUGAUUCCUAAAGAUUUCCAACAUCUGUCCACAGGUUUUAAGUGAUCUCUCAUGUUAGUUUUGUUGUUGCUUUUGUUGUCUGCUUGGGACUUAGCAAACAUUUACUUUAUAUUAUUUCUCUAGAUUAGUUGUUCCAAUCAUGCUGUGGCCCUUUAAUACAGUUCCUUAUGUUGUGAUGACCCCCAACCAUAAAAUUAUUUUUGUUGCUACUUUAUAACUGUAAUUUUGUUACUGUUAUGAAUCACGAUGUAAAUGUCUGUUUUCUAUGGUCUUAGAUGACGUCUGUGGAGGUUCACAGGUUGAGAGCUGUUGCUCUAGACAUUGGUUAUGUCUCACAAGCUUUGCACAGUGAGCAGAAAAAAAUCCAUACCAGUCUCUUUAGUGCCUACCCUAUUUUAAAUAAGGCAAGAGUUUAGCAAGUGGUUAUUAUAUAGUUAGUUUUGUUGUAUCAUUGCCUGUUGACCAGUGAUCAUUGGAGCGCACAGCAGGUAGUUCCAUGCGUUUACUCGAUUCUCUCUGUAGUCAUCUUGUUGUCUUACCAUUUCAUAUGGAAUACGGAGCCAAAGGUCCUUUUCUCACCAACAUUGCACAUUGCUUUUAGCAGAACUGAGUUGCAUGUGAAGAAAAAUGAAAACACCCAAAGUGCUCCUAUCCUUUCCUUUAUCUUUGUGACAAAAACCCAAACUUAGGGAUAUUUCAGGUUUGUGUGCUUAUUUAUGACUUUAUUCUUAUUUUGUGGGUUCAAGGGUGUAUCGCUUAUGAAAAAACAAGCUGACACAUUCUUGUUUUUAUUUAUUCAUUUUUGAAAAUUUCAUACAUGAGUAUUGCACUUGAGUCAUUUCUAUCCCCUUCUGUCCUCUCUCUGUCUCCUUUCAUGUUAUGUUCCCCAACUCCCUCUCAAAUCUAUGGUCUCUUAUUCUUUAAUUAUUAUUGUUUCAUACACACACACACACACACACCUGCUGAGUCCCUUUAGUGUGCAUUGUUUAUGUAUAUGUGUUUGUUUUGGGUUGAAGUUGGGUAUCUGUCAGGGGCUGGUCCCCAGAGAAGACUGAUUCCCCCCCUCUUAGCAGCCAGUGAUUGCCUGCAGCUCUUCAUCUAGUAUUGGGGCUUGUGACAUUUCCCUUGUCCACAUUGGUAUGCCAACUGGUUGUUUUCAUUGUUCAGUUAUAUAGACCGUGUGUGUGUGUGUGUGUGUGUGUGUGUAUGUGUCGGGGGAGGAUCACAGCAGGUGUCUUGGUCUGGCUCUUUAAGAUUUUAAAUCUUCUCACACUGUAGAAAUCUUUCCUCUUCUAUGAUGUUUACUGAGCCCCAAGUAUGGAGUUGAGUUAUAGGUGUACCAUCUCAGGUAUGGAUUGUGUUGUAAGUGUACCAUCCCAGGUGUGGGUUGUGUUGUAGGUGUACUGUCCCAGCCAGGGUCCCCAUAGUCACUUGCUCUCUACAUUUUAACCAGUUGUAGAUCUCUAAAGUAGUCCACAUCUCUUACAAAAAGAAGCUCCUUUGCCGAGGGGUGAGCACUAUGCUUAUUUGUAGCAGUGAGGAUAAUUCUUUCCAUGGUUGGCAGGAAGACAUUGACUUGCCUACUGGUGUGUGAGGUGGUGUUUGGCCACUACAGAGAGUUGGUGGAGCCUGAGCAUGGGAUGCUAACGUGGAGUAGAACUGGAGGCAAGGAAGCUUCUGGUUGGCUGAUGCAUCCUCUUUGGUGGCUCCCGGAAAGGAAGUGGGAAAGAGCUUAGACAGUGUCCUAUUGUGAAAGACUCAUGGGAGACGCACUGCGCCCUACGUUUCCUGGGGUCCUCCUCUUUGCUUUCUUAUUUCUUACAGUCACACAGUUGCCAGGCCUUCAUUUGUCUUGGAGAAGUGUUAUCAGUGCAGUUGUUACAGAAAGACUGAGACGCAGUGGCAUGGUGGGAUUUGAUCUUUCUGUUUGUGUCUGGGAAGUGGAUGGCUGAGGAGAGCAGUGGGCGGGGAAGGUAGGACAGUUCGGGUGAUCACAGGGGAGAUGGCUGACUCUUCCAGGAACUGGAAGAAAGAUGCCCAGGGCUAUGUGUUAAAGCACAUUCCCAUGGCACCUGCUCCAUCCCAGACAGCCUGGACUUGGUCAGAAUUUCACAAUGGAGCCCUGCUAAUCUGAGCAUGUGUUUAAGGAGAUAGAUCUCUUUGGAUUUUAAAUGCCUGGCUCUGGUAAUGAGCUGGUUGUAA
Molecule: long non-coding RNA, 2952 nt
Filed under: Mus musculus (house mouse)
Lineage: Eukaryota; Metazoa; Chordata; Mammalia; Rodentia; Muridae
Description: long non-coding RNA chr6:145764707-145767659
Source: RNAcentral